AAAAAGAAAGAACUUUCCAGCUAAUGGGGGUUUACCUUUUUAUUCCGAAAAAGCAUACUUUUGUUGAUCAUAAUGAAGUUUUGCAAGUAAAUUACAGAAGAAGAAAAAAACUAUCCUUAAUUGCAAAAAUUCCCGGUGGUGUUAAGUAGGAAGGCCACCAUGACAAUAACUGGUAGAUCAGCAAAGUGAUCGAAGAUCAUAAACUUGGUUUGUCUUCGGUGGAUGCAAGAAGAAGAGCUUUUGUUUUUUCUUGUUUAAUUUGGUACAAGGAUCGAAGAAGAAGAAGGCAGACAGAAUGGCCGAGGGCGUUGUGUCGUUUGUUGUGGAAAGGCUUGCGGACCUUAUAAUUAGAGAUGCAAUACUUAUAGUAGGGGCGAGCGAUCAAAUCAAGCUGAUGCACUCCGAAUUAAAGCGCAUGCAGUGCUUCUUAGAAGACGCAGAUAAAAGGCAAAACGAAGACGAGAGCGUUCAAAAUUGGGUUUCUGAGAUUCGGGAUGCCGCAUACGAUGCUCAGGAUAUAAUAGAAAGUUUCGCCCUUGAAAUUCUGUCCAAGAACAGAGAAAAUCUGCUCAAGAGGUACGCUUCUUUUCUCAGCGACACCAUCAAACUUCACAAAGUGGCGUACGAGAUUGAGGCCAUUAAAGCUAGAAUCUCCGACCUCUCCAGAAGCUUACAGACUUAUGGUGUGAAUUCUGCAAGAGAAGAAGGCUCCACUUCAGCGUCGAUCCUGCAUAGGCAAAGGCAAAGGCAAUUGAGAUGGUCUUAUUCCCAUAAUCUUGAAGAGUACAUCGUGGGGUUGGACGAAAACAUAAGAGAAGUAGUUGCACAGCUCGUGAGUGAGAAAAAUGGCUGUCAAUCUGUGUCUAUUUGCGGGAUGGGUGGUCUAGGCAAGACCACUCUUGCCAAAAAAGUUUAUCAUUACAGUGACGUUAGGCGUCAUUUUGAAGGCUUUGCUUGGGCUUAUGUGUCUCAAGAUUGCAAAAGAAGAGAUGUUUGGGAAGGAAUUUUGCUCAAUCUUACCUCUCCGUCCAAAGACGAUAGGGAUCAGGUUUUGAAAAUGAGAGAGGAUGAGCUGGCAAAGAAGCUUAAUCAAGUUCUGCAAGACAAAAGAUGUUUGGUGAUCCUCGACGAUAUUUGGGACUCCGAGGCAUGGGAUAUACUCUUGCCUGCCUUCCCAUCAGGAAUGGUGAGCAGCAAAAUUCUACUAACAACUCGCAAUAGAGAAGUAGCCAAGCAUGUAGAUCCAGGAGGAUUUAUACAUGAACCGACGUGUUUGAAUGAGGAAGAUAGUUGGGACUUGUUUCAGAAGAAGGCAUUUCCGAGAAAAACUCCAGACUCCAGAAUUUGCGAAAGCAUGGAGAAGUUAGGGAGGGAAAUGGUGGCGAGGUGUGCUGGUUUACCAUUGGCUAUCAAUGUGCUUGGAGGGCUUUUGGCAACCAAAGAAACAUUGAGUGAGUGGGACAUGGUGCACAGAAAUAUAAAAUCUUACUUAAGGAGAGGCCCCGCCCAAGGACAACCAUCAACAGUUCAGGAUGUAUUGGCUUUGAGUUACCAUGAAUUGCCUUACCAAUUAAAACCCUGUUUCCUCUAUCUCAGCCAGUUUCCAGAGGACUACGAUAUUCCAAAAAAGAAAUUGGUUCGACUGUGGGUGGCGGAAGGCUUUGUGUCUCCGAAAUACGAGCAUAUCGACGGCGAUGAAGCGCUGGAAGAUGUUGCAGAAAGCUACCUGGUUGAGUUGAUAAAUAGAUGCAUGGCUCAAGUGGGUGUGGUUGGGGCAAGCGGAAGGAUCAAGUCUUGCCGCCUCCAUGAUCUUAUGCGCGACCUAUGCUUGUCAAAGGCAAAACAGGAAAAUUUCCUCCACAUUGUAGGCCAUUCGCCUGGAAAUGAUCAGACAACGGAUGCUUUUCCUUCACACAGCGUGACAUCAACUGGUAGAAUUCGCAGACUUGCCAUAUUUUCUGACACUUUUGUCCCAGAAAAAUACAAAGAUCAGCAUCCGCAGAUCAGGUCCCUCUUAUACUUCAUUAAAGAUAACCAUUCCAUCGUCUCUGUGUUUAAGUACUUCAGAUUGCUUAGAGUUUUGGAUCUGGAAGGAAGCAAGAUCCCGGAUGGGGAGUUACCCGAGAAAAUAGGAACAUUAACGAUUCAUUUGAGGUUCUUGAGCUUGAAGAAAACUGGUAUACGGGUUUUGCCUUCAUCCAUAAGCAAUUUGAUGUGCUUGGAGACCCUGAAUCUGGAAACCAUUGACGAAAUGAGUUGGGAAUCGACUGUAGUAAUUCCGAACGAGAUAUGGACGAUGGAACAGUUGAGACAUCUAUAUCUUCCCAAGUGGUGUGAUUAUUCUUCUGAUGGUAAGCUUCAACUGACAAGUAUGACCAAACUUCAGACACUAGUAAACUUCCCUGCAAACAAAUGUGAUGUAAGCGAUCUUCUCAGUUUGACAAGUCUUAGAAAAUUGGUGCUAAAUGAGCCAAGACACUUCCAAGAGUUUGGGGAAAUCUUCAGACGGCCGACCGACAAAUUAAACAGCCUUCGAUCCUUGUCCAUGAAGACUGAAAUGCUUUCAUUCCCUGAUAAGGUUGUAAACCUGCGGCAAGUAGUGCAAGGUUGUCCUCGUCUCUACAAGCUACACGUGGAAGGGCGGAUAGAGAAGCUGCCGGAAUACCACCAUCCGUACCUCGCCAAGUUAAUUCUGUGGGGAUCCAGACUUGAGGAAGACCCGAUGCCUAUACUGGAGAAGCUGCCGAACUUGAGGUUCCUAAACGGAUGGGAUGCUUUCGUUGGGAAGAAAAUGGUUUGCUCUAAAGGAGGUUUUCCUAAACUGAAAACGUUACGCUUACGCGGCUUGCCUAAGUUAGAGGAGUGGACGGUGGAGGCAGGUGCCAUGCCCUGUCUUUCCCGUUUGGAGAUUUUAGGUUGCAGCAAGCUGAAGUCGGUUCCAGAUGGACUAGAGUUUGUCAGUACACUCCAGGAACUGGAGUUACGAUGGAUGCCAAUAGCAUUCAAACACAGGCUUGAAAAAAAAGGAGAGGAUUUCAGCAAAGUCAAGCACGUCCCUUCCAUUGUUUUUCUGAAUUAAUUGAGCUUGGAAUACCAAGUUUGAUGAUCAUCAGGUGAAACGCACUCAAGGAUCGUUGAAUUGAUGCUAGCUGUCAUGGUCUACAUCAUUUGGAAGGAAAGAAAUUCAAGACAUUUUGCUGGAAAUGUAGAGAUUUGGCUAGCUAUUGUUUGUAUGGACGUACAUUGUUCUGCUUGUUAGGCUUCAGAUCAACUGAUCACUCUCCUUUGAGGCUAAUUAUGCCAAUAGAAGGUUGGGCAGAGUUCUGAUGAUGUUUUCCUAAUCAACAAAUUACCCUGCUUUUAUAUUUGUCUGUGCUGGUCUAGUGGUGUAAAUUGAACUGGUUUUGGCUUCUUUGCGGUUCCCAAGCUGUGCAGGUUUGGGGUAUUGGUGAUUUGUUGUCUUUCAUAGUUGCUGGUUUUGGGGACUAAUCUUCCCCUUGUAAAUUUUAAUUUUGUUUUAAUAAAUUAGUUAUUCAUCUAAAAAAAAAAAAAAAAAAUCCAAAUGAUAUAGAAACUUCAAUUCUCUCA
Molecule: RNA transcript, 3588 nt
Organism: Alnus glutinosa
Lineage: Eukaryota; Viridiplantae; Streptophyta; Magnoliopsida; Fagales; Betulaceae
Gene name: putative disease resistance protein At1g50180
Exons: 3
Source: RefSeq, a predicted model, not a curated record